GACGAACGCUGGCGGCGUGCUUAACACAUGCAAGUCGAGCGGUAAGGCCCUUUCGGGGGUACACGAGCGGCGAACGGGUGAGUAACACGUGGGUGACCUGCCCUUAGCUCUGGGAUAAGCCUGGGAAACUGGGUCUAAUACCGGAUAUGACUCCAUGACGCAUGUUGUGGGGUGGAAAGCCUUGUGCGGCUAGGGAUGGGCCCGCGGCCUAUCAGCUUGUUGGUGGGGUGAUGGCCUACCAAGGCGACGACGGGUAGCUGGUCUGAGAGGAUGGCCAGCCACAUUGGGACUGAGAGACGGCCCAGACUCCUACGGGAGGCAGCAGUGGGGAAUCUUGCGCAAUGGCCGAAAGGCUGACGCAGCGACGCCGCGUGGGGA
This 378-nucleotide ribosomal RNA is filed under the name uncultured bacterium. RNAcentral describes it as "bacterial SSU rRNA". It matches the Rfam family "Bacterial small subunit ribosomal RNA", at positions 28 to 407 of the family's 1533-position model. The record is from RNAcentral.